Molecule: long non-coding RNA, 4410 nt
Organism: Bubalus bubalis (water buffalo)
Lineage: Eukaryota; Metazoa; Chordata; Mammalia; Artiodactyla; Bovidae
Exons: 3
Source: RefSeq, a predicted model, not a curated record
GGCGAGCAACACAAAAACCUUCGCCUUCCGCGAGCCGCACGUCAAAUAGCCGCGAUCGGCAGCCACACUUCAAAGGGAUCGCCGCGCCCGCCCAAUCGCCGAUCUCGCCGGGACCCCGGGGCGGGGAGAGCGCCCGGCGCCGCCGGUGGGCGGGGAGAGCCUUAAAGGGGCCGCGCCCGCGAGCCGAGGCGCCGCGGCCUGGACCCACCGCCGGCCUCCUCCCCUGCCCCCAACAGGGCCGGCCCGGGCCCCGGGGUCCCGGCGAGAUCAGGGCUUCCCCGGGGACCCUGGGCUAUGCGCCCUGCCCUCCGUGGGCUUUCCUGUCGCUCUGCGCUUUCUCCCUUCGCACGGCUGGGGUUGGGUGGGGUGGUGCUGGCCGGGGAAGGGGGACAGGUCACCCGCAGUCCGUGUGUCUCUGGGGUGGGGUGAACUGGGUGGGCUGGGGGACGGGGUAGGAGCCCCUGGCGGCCGGCUCCGGGACUGCCAAGUCCCAGCCGCUCCCGGAGGCCGCCUGGGGGCGGGCCGCGCCUCCAGAACCCCAGCUCGGCUCGGGUCCUGCUCGGGUUUUCAGCUCUUUCCCCCCUGACUUGGCUUCCUCCCGGGUGUGCUCACUAGGAAGCGCCCGAACCUCGGAGGCAGCCACAGUUCUCGCGACGCGGCGAAAACCGCUCCAGCAACUUUGAGCCAGCCCUGUCCGCAGCCUGCAAGUUUGAGGACUCCCCUUCCGGGGUGAGAUGGUCUCGAUAAGGCGCGAUCCCCGCUUGUGGUGCGCGCCGCCGGGACGCGCCUGGCGCGCGGUGCCUGCGUACCGAUUUAUAGGUUCGAUGCUUGGGUGUGUUCCGGGUUUCUUACAGCGUGCUGCUUAGGGGCACACAAUUCUCUCAUGGCACCGCGCCUGACUGCUGUUUCAGGGGUAGCGGGUGGGUAGGGACGUGGAGGGGUUUGCAUCCUAGAAGAGGCGGGGUCUCUGUAAACGCAGCAAGUCGAUGUAAGCGCCAAAGAUGCGGCUCCUCCACGCCCCGCCCCCCUUUUCUUCUCGAGGGGGAAGAUGCCCUAGGUUUUCCCAGGGGAAUUUCGGAAUUAAAAACUUUUAAAUGAAAAUAACAGUACCCCCCUCCACCCUGUCUCCUUCCUCCCGUGCCUUUCGGAUAAAGUAUGCAUUGCCAGCUUCGCACCCGACAGAGAUUUCACAUAGUCCCUGUCCUGGCGUUGGAGUCCCCCGUCCGCCGAUCGGAGGGUGAAGUUGGCCCUUUGUACGCAGGCCUUUGGGGAGACCCCUUUCCCGGUUCUCUCGGCGGCCAGUGGAGGCGCGCUGGUGUCACUGCCCCGCUCUGAGCACCCCUUUUCCAGCCCGCAUCUGUCACUCGGAUUGUCGGGUCUGUCACUCGGGGCAUAUUGUUCCCGGACUGCCGGUCCCUGACUCUGCUGCUCGUUGAUCAACGCCCUGAGAUGCCCAGAAGGGCAGAGACGAUUUCAAAGGCGUUCUUCCAACAGAAACGAGUAUCACAGAAAUAACAAAUGGCAGUCUUUAUGAUGCUCAGUAGAGAAGGCACCAGGCACCACUCCCAGGCCACGUCAAUCAAACACUAAACUGAAUGUACUCCUUGGAUCAGUCUGGUUUUUGGACAGGAUGUCUAGACCUCUAAGAAAUUACACAGGCGUUCCCUACCCCGAUUUUAAUCCUGAUAAAAUUAGGUUACAAUGAAUGCCAAGGGAUGUCCUGACUGGGUGAUGUAUUCCAUACCGCAGCAAGGAGGGUACAAGACGGAGGGGGGAGACCCCAUUUAUUUUAUUGUGGUGGUCCCUAUCCCCUGCCCACUCCUCCUUCUCCUGCCAGCCUCUGAGCACUCUGACAUCCUUGCCACUGCCAGUGUCAAGUCUAAAUGACCACUGCAAGGCUGCUUCAAUCUACCAGGUGAUUUGGCCUUUGGGAGACUUCUCUGCAGAGAGAGCGAGCAGAACCUUCCAGAAUGAAGACGGUGGGCCUUGGUAGGCCACUUUGGAGGAGGAGGAUCUGGGAAGAGGGGAGCCCUAGGAGACAGGAAAAGAUGAAAGACCCCUUCUUGAUGAUCACAACCAGCCCAGCUGUGAACGCCAGCCAAGGACUCCUGCUCGGACCCUGCAGAUGGUCCUCUGCCCAUGGAAUUCUCCAGGCAAGAAUUCUCGAGUGGGCUGCCAUACCCGUCUCCAGAGGAUCUUCCCAACCCAGGGAUUGAACUCACAUCUCCUGCAUUGCAGGUGGAUUCUUUGCCACUGGAUGCUAGAGGAUUAUUACAAUCGUAAGUACCCUACAAAUGAACUGUCAAGUUUGGAACUUUCAAAGAUGCAAACAUCCGUUCCAUCAACAUCAGGCGUGAGUGAAAUCGCAGCUUGUCCUCCGUCUCCUAUUGCUGGUGGCGAUCCUUCAGCUCUGCCAUCUCCCACCUCCUCUCUCUCCUCCAGUGACUCUUCUCCCCCCUUCACUCGAUGCCACCCCGGAUGCCCAUCAUUGUACUGUCUUACUGUACUUUUCAAGGUACUGUACUAUAAGGUUAAAAAUCUCUUUGUGUGUUUGUUUCAUAUGUAUCUCUUGUGUGAAAACUACUAUAAACCUAUUAUAGUACAGUAUUAACAGUAUUAAUACUGUUACAGUAUUAUAAACCUAUGUACCUGAUUGUGUUAGCUGGGUACCUAGACUAACUUUGUUGGACUUAUGAACAAGUUGGACUUACAAAAGCGCUCUUGGAACAGAACUUGUUCCUAUGUAGGGGUCUUACCAUAUAUAUAAUAUAUAUCAUUCUCCAUGUGUGCUAAUAAAAUUAUAGGGUAAGUUCCUAGGAAUAGAAUUGCAGGGCUGAAAGCUAUAUGUGUUCAAAACAAGCCCCUUUCAAGAAAGUAGGUAGGACCCAACACACCCUUGGAGUGAGAAGUUCAGCCGAGGGACUCAGGGAAGAAAGCCAGGGCAACGCCUCCAGGAACUUCUGGGCGUUCAUCUGGAGAAGGCUCAGGAAGAAGGGUUCCAUUUCCAUCUCUGGAUUUAAGAAAAUGUGCGUGCUUCUCUCGCUUUCCUCUUUCUUCUUGUCCCACCUUCUCCCUCAUUUAGCAGAAGGAAGAGGAGAGGAAAAAUUACGUCCAGCCUCAAGGAAUCCAUGAUUUUGAUAAAUACACAUUUUAAUAUUGCCAACUUUCCAAUCAGUGAACCCUAACAGAAACGCUGGAUUGUUUGCACCUUUUUUCGUUCAUGCUCACAAGAAGGCAGAAGUUUGUGCCGAAGAUAAUCCGGAGACUGCUGUUGUAUCCAUGGAGGUUUGUAUCUGGUUCUCACUGCAAAUUUCCAGCACGAGGCUUGUGAUGUGUCUGAAGACAUCAAAUCAUGACAUCAGUAAUUACUAUUAGCAGAGUGCUUGCCAAAGCGGCUGAGCAGUCUUCACUUUGUUCAUAUUUGAAUAUUGUAUUUUUGGAUAGGUAUUGCCUGCAGAAUUCAAAGGUACCAAGGGCAUGGGUAUGUAACUUCUCAACAAGGAUUGAGAUGAUAAGAGUUUUCUGCUUUAUAGACCAUUUGCCAAGAAAAAAAAAAAAAACUAAAAAAAGAGCAGCAGACGAUGCUGUUCUACAGGUGUUUGGACACCUUAGUUUCUUGCUGCAAAGAUGCACAGGAAAGCCUCUGUCUCCUCUAGUUCAGGCCCAGGGCUGGGCCUCCUUGGUCCGCUGAGUCCAAGCUCACUUUUUGUGAGUGACCUUGAUCCUGUGACACUGGGAGGAAUCAGGACUGCAUGCAGUAUUGAUGGGCCAUAGAAUCAGGAUAAACAUUCAUUCCAGACUGUCUAAAGUAGAAUUCUAGGGGUGUCCCUGGUGGUCCAGUGGCUAAGACUCCAUGCUCCCAUUGCAGGGGACCCGGACUCAGUCCCCAGUCAGGGAACUAGAUCCCACAUGCUGAGACUAAAGAGCCCAUGUGUGGCACAGCCAAAAUAAAUACUUAUAUAUAAAAAAAGAAUUGUACCAUCUUGAAGACCUUUCUCAGGCAUCCUGAGGGUACCCCUUCCACGUUUCCCAAGGUCCAUCUUGAUACAUCGAACACAACCGCUUUCUGCCAGGCUGUCUUUGUUUUUCUCAUUCAUUUCCUGAAAUAAAUAAUAAAUCAAUGCAAAAAUGAUAAAAACAACAGCAACAACCAAAAAAAAAAAAAAAAAAACAACACACACACACACAACCCAAACAAUCCAAACCAGAAUAGUACAGUAGCUGCAAACGCUGAGGAGACCGUGUCCUUUUCCUUAUGAUGUUUAUGCCUGUUCCACAUCAGGCCCCGGGUGAAUUUUUCCCCCACUGCAGUCGACAUGCAUAAUGACAAUCUCAUUUAUGACAGGAGACAUGUUUUUGUUUUAAAACAACUGACAGAGCUGCGAGAUGGGGAACGACAAGAAAGUGCGA